CAGCAGCCGCGGUAAUACGUAGGUGGCAAGCGUUGUCCGGAUUUAUUGGGCGUAAAGCGAGCGCAGGCGGUUCCUUAAGUCUGAUGUGAAAGCCCACGGCUCAACCGUGGAAGGUCAUUGGAAACUGGGGAACUUGAGUGCAGAAGAGGAGAGUGGAAUUCCAUGUGUAGCGGUGAAAUGCGCAGAGAUAUGGAGGAACACCAGUGGCGAAGGCGACUUUCUGGUCUGUAACUGACGCUGAUGUGCGAAAGCGUGGGGAUCAAACAGGAUUAGAUACCCCAGUAGUCCCUGUCUCUUAUAA
RNAcentral lists this ribosomal RNA (301 nucleotides) under uncultured bacterium. RNAcentral describes it as "partial 16S ribosomal RNA". It matches the Rfam family "Bacterial small subunit ribosomal RNA", at positions 509 to 809 of the family's 1533-position model. The record is from RNAcentral.